RNAcentral lists this ribosomal RNA (482 nucleotides) under uncultured bacterium. RNAcentral describes it as "bacterial SSU rRNA". It matches the Rfam family "Bacterial small subunit ribosomal RNA", at positions 15 to 507 of the family's 1533-position model. The record is from RNAcentral.
GAUCAUGGCUCAGGAUGAACGCUAGCGACAGGCCUAACACAUGCAAGUCGAGGGGCAGCAUGGUAUCAGCUUGCUGAUACCGAUGGCGACCGGCGCACGGGUGAGUAACGCGUAUGUAAUCUGCCUGUAACAGAGGGAUAACCCGGAGAAAUCCGGCCUAAUACCUCAUAAUACAUAUUAUUCGCAUGAGUUUUAUGUUAAAGAAAUUCGGUUACAGAUGAACAUGCGUUCCAUUAGCUGGUUGGCGGGGUAACGGCCCACCAAGGCGACGAUGGAUAGGGGUUCUGAGAGGAAGGUCCCCCACACUGGUACUGAGACACGGACCAGACUCCUACGGGAGGCAGCAGUGGGGAAUAUUGCACAAUGGGGGAAACCCUGAUGCAGCGACGCCGCGUGAGUGAUGAAGUAUUUCGGUAUGUAAAACUCUAUCAGCAGGGAAGAUAAUGACGGUACCUGACUAAGAAGCACCGGCUAAAUACGUG